CCUACGGGAGGCAGCAGUGGGGAAUAUUGGACAAUGGGCGAAAGCCUGAUCCAGCAAUGCCGCGUGAGUGAUGAAGGCCUUAGGGUUGUAAAGCUCUUUUACCAGGGAUGAUAAUGACAGUACCUGGAGAAUAAGCUCCGGCUAACUCCGUGCCAGCAGCCGCGGUAAUACGGAGGGAGCUAGCGUUGUUCGGAAUUACUGGGCGUAAAGCGUGCGUAGGCGGUUAUUCAAGUCAGAGGUGAAAGCCCGGGGCUCAACCCCGGAACGGCCUUUGAAACUAGAUAGCUAGAAUCUUGGAGAGGUUAGUGGAAUUCCGAGUGUAGAGGUGAAAUUCGUAGAUAUUCGGAAGAACACCAGUGGCGAAGGCGACUAACUGGACAAGCAUUGACGCUGAGGCACGAAAGCGUGGGGAGCAAACAGGAUUAGAUACCCUGGUAGUCCACGCCGUAACGAUGAUAACUAGCUGUUCGGUCGACUGUGCUGAGUGGCGCAGCUACGCAUUAAGUUAUUCCGCCGUCGGGUAGGUACGGUCGCGAGAGUUAAACUACAAUAGUAAGUUAGUACGUUCGUUGUAGAGUUGCCGACGGCGACGACGAGGGAGGAGG
RNAcentral lists this ribosomal RNA (605 nucleotides) under uncultured bacterium. RNAcentral's name for it is "bacterial SSU rRNA". The stretch from base 1 to 515 matches the Rfam family "Bacterial small subunit ribosomal RNA", at positions 338 to 873 of the family's 1533-position model. The record is from RNAcentral.